CCCCGUUGUGUAGCGGCCUAGCACGCCGCCCUCUCAAGGCGGUAGCGCCGGUUCGAAUCCGGUCGGGGGUACA
Molecule: transfer RNA, 73 nt
Filed under: Streptomyces leeuwenhoekii
Lineage: Bacteria; Bacillati; Actinomycetota; Actinomycetes; Kitasatosporales; Streptomycetaceae
Description: tRNA-Glu-CTC
Rfam family: tRNA
About the family: Transfer RNA (tRNA) molecules are approximately 80 nucleotides in length. Their secondary structure includes four short double-helical elements and three loops (D, anti-codon, and T loops).
Source: RNAcentral